Molecule: ribosomal RNA, 394 nt
Filed under: uncultured bacterium
Lineage: Bacteria
Description: partial 16S ribosomal RNA
Rfam family: Bacterial small subunit ribosomal RNA
Source: RNAcentral
CCUACGGGAGGCAGCAGUGAGGAAUAUUGGUCAAUGGACGGAAGUCUGAACCAGCCACGCCGCGUGAAGGAAGACGGCCCUAUGAGUUGUAAACUGCUUUUGUAUAGGGGUAAACCUGAAUACGUGUAUUCUGCUGUAUGUACCGUAUGAAUAAGGAUCGGCUAACUCCGUGCCAGCAGCCGCGGUAAUACGGAGGAUCCAAGCGUUAUCCGGAUUUAUUGGGUUUAAAGGGUGCGUAGGUGGAUUGAUAAGUUAGUGGUGAAAUGUUGGAGCUUAACCCGGGAAUUGCCUCUGAUACUGGUGAUCUAGAGAGUAGGAGCGGUAGGCGGAAUGAGUGGUGUAGCGGUGAAAUGCUUAGAGAUCAUACAGAACACCGAUUGCGAAGGCAGCUUAC